Molecule: ribosomal RNA, 493 nt
Filed under: uncultured bacterium
Lineage: Bacteria
Description: partial 16S ribosomal RNA
Rfam family: Bacterial small subunit ribosomal RNA
Source: RNAcentral
AACGAACGCUGGCGGCGCGUCUUAAACAUGCAAGUCGAACGGCAGGAAGGGGCUUGCCCCUUCUGAGAGUGGCGGACUGGUGAGUAACACGUGGGUGACAUACCUUUUAGUUGGGGAUAGCUAUUAGAAAUAGUAGGUAAUACCGAUUGUGACCGUACCUGUUAGAGGGGUACGAGGAAAGGAGCUAAGGCUUCGCUAAAAGAAUGGCUCGCGGCCCAUUAUGCUCGUUGGUGAGGUAACGGCCCACCAAGGCGAUGAUGGGUAUCCGGCCUGAGAGGGUGAACGGACACAUUGGGACUGAGAUACGGCCCAGACUUCUACGGGAGGCAGCAGUUAAGAAUAUUCCGCAAUGGACGAAAGUCUGACGGAGCGACGCCGCGUGGAUGAAGAAUGCCGAAAGGUUGUAAAAUCCUUUUAAGCCUGAUGAAUAAGCACAGUAGGGAAUGAUUGUGCGGUGACCGUAGGGCUUGAAUAAGCACCGGCUAAUUACGUG